Lactuca sativa (garden lettuce) is the source of this 976-nucleotide long non-coding RNA. RefSeq lists it as uncharacterized. Lineage: Eukaryota; Viridiplantae; Streptophyta; Magnoliopsida; Asterales; Asteraceae. The record is from RefSeq and is a predicted model, not a curated record.
UUGCUUCCGAUUUCUCAUUCGACGCAGUCAAAAAAAUCGAGAUUCUCUCUGCCUCUCUGGACACAACCCACGAACGAGAAUGAACAAAGGGAAAUUGGUGCAUCUACUUCUUCUGUCGACUUUAGCUCCGGCCUCCGAUGUCGUCGACUUUAGCUCUGGCCUCCGGUUCGUCAUCUCUUUCAAGCAACAACGUCGCAGUCCCCUUCCAAGCUUCAGUUCACGACUUCACGUCUUCGCAGUCGCAGUUCCAACAACAUUAGAUAAAUUUGCAACUUGGAAUGAAAACGAAGACUGGAACAUCCUCUAAAAUCUUCUGUUCUUUCUAAAAUCCUUUGUUCUUUCUGCAACAUCAGGUAAGGCAGAAGGGUAUUUGAUUCGGGUAAUUUCUUGACCAAAAUCUCUAAUUGUUUUGUGUAUGAAACCAUAUGCCCACCAAGUGUUCGAUCAAUUGCCUGAGUGAAGGGUAUUUGGAUUCGGGUAAUUUCUUGACUAAAACUCUGGUCCCUUGAUCGUCUGUGAAGUUAUUAAGAACCAUGGAUUUGAAGAUGUAGGUGGUUUGGUUCUAGUUCUCGGUUGUGUAUGGUGCGACAGUAGUGGAGUGUGAUGGUGCAGAACAGAUGCAUACAGGAAGGUGGUCAAUGGACGUGUUUGGUGGUUGGAGCAAAAACGAAUGGAGCACUUGGUGGUAUUUGGUUGUAUGUGUAUGUAGCAAAAACAUAGAUUGGAUUGCAGCUUCUACUGAUCUCUCAAGCACCACACCAGAUGUUUUAAGCAGUGAGUUAUGUAAAAAGCUUAAAGGGUUUCAAGCAGUGAGUUAUGUAAAAGGCUUAAAUGAUUUCUUGCAGAAUGGCCUCCUUCAAGUCCCCAACCUCAUGUCAAUGAACUUCUUAUAGCAAAAGCGUUUUUUAAUCAUAGUUUCAUGUUAUAAUGCUAUAUUUAUUAAAAUUUUAAUAUAUAUUUUUUAUUUAUAAUGUUA